Small nucleolar RNA from Phragmites australis (common reed), 139 nucleotides. RefSeq annotates it as small nucleolar RNA Z247. The record is from RefSeq and is a predicted model, not a curated record. NCBI's taxonomy places the organism in Eukaryota, Viridiplantae, Streptophyta, Magnoliopsida, Poales, Poaceae. The transcript has a single exon.
CCAAUUGAAGACAAGGAGUUGAUCUCAUAUAUGCUACGAGGACUUGGAUCUGAGUAUGAUCCUUUGGUGACAAGCAUCACCACGUGCACCGAUCCCGUCACUGUCUCCGAUGUCUACGCCCACAUGCAUAGCUUCGAGU